GACGAACGCUGGCGGCGUGCUUAACACAUGCAAGUCGAACGGAAAGGCCCUGCUUUUGUGGGGUGCUCGAGUGGCGAACGGGUGAGUAACACGUGAGUAACCUGCCCUUGACUUUGGGAUAACUUCAGGAAACUGGGGCUAAUACCGGAUAGGAGCUCCUGCUGCAUGGUGGGGGUUGGAAAGUUUCGGCGGUUGGGGAUGGACUCGCGGCUUAUCAGCGUGUUGGUGGGGUAGUGGCUUACCAAGGCUUUGACGGGUAGCCGGCCUGAGAGGGUGACCGGCCACAAUGGGACUGAGAUACGGCCCAGACUCCUACGGGAGGCAGCAGUGGGGAAUAUUGCACAAUGGGCGGAAGCCUGAUGCAGCAACGCCGCGUGCGGGAUGACGGCCUUCGGGUUGUAAACCGCUUUCGCCUGGGACGAAGCGUGAGUGACGGUAAUUGGUAAAGAAGCACCGGCUAACUACGUG
Molecule: ribosomal RNA, 468 nt
Filed under: uncultured bacterium
Lineage: Bacteria
Description: partial 16S ribosomal RNA
Rfam family: Bacterial small subunit ribosomal RNA
Source: RNAcentral